UACAAAGGGGGCAAGCGUUAUUCGGAAUUACUGGGCGUAAAGCGUGCGUAGACGGUUACUCAAGUCGGGUGUGAAAGCCCCGGGCUCAACCUGGGAAUUGCAUUCGAGACUGCGUAGCUAGGGUGCGGAAGAGGGAAGUGGAAUUUCCGGUGUAGCGGUGAAAUGCGUAGAUAUCGGAAGGAACAUCAGUGGCGAAAGCGACUUCCUGGUCCAGCACCGACGUUCAGGCACGAAAGCGUGGGGAGCAAACAGG
RNAcentral lists this ribosomal RNA (253 nucleotides) under uncultured bacterium. RNAcentral describes it as "partial 16S ribosomal RNA". It matches the Rfam family "Bacterial small subunit ribosomal RNA", at positions 524 to 776 of the family's 1533-position model. The record is from RNAcentral.